CGAUGAUGAGGAGGAGACCAUCUCUCUGGAUUCCAGAAGGCAUGAGGACCCAGAUGCUAUACAGUGGGUAAACCAGCCUGGCAACAUAAUGGUAUGGCCUCUGAAGACCCCCAAGACCAACUGGAUGAGGCUAUUAAAAAGGCAGAACGCCUUGCCGAGGAGCUCAACCAAGAAAAGGACCCACAAGCCCAACUGGACGAGGCCAUUAACGAGGCAAAAAGACUGGCUGAGGAGCUCAACCCAGAACGGGAAAAUAAGAAGAAAAAGACAAACAAGCCUCCAGGGAUUAGGUUCAGAUGGAGACAAAGGGAUGAGAGAGGACAGAUUGAUCCUCAAACCAGGAAGGCAACUACAUCCACUUCUGUUGCUCCAAGGGCCAGUACAUCAAGAGCCAGACUAGUGCAACCUUCUGGACCAGUCACUGAGGAGGAAGAAUCAGAGACAAGGACCAGUGGAUUGGAAUCCACUCCAGUUUUAAACAUUGAUGAAGAAAUAGCAAUACUUUAUAGAGAAAUGAACAUCCUCCUAGCUGACUUAGAAGACCCUGAGUGUUCAAAUCCUACUGUGCCUGGUGCAUCAUCACACAGUUGGAGUGUGAGGAAGGAACUCUCACAGGAGGGAGUCCAGGCCUGAGAUUGUAGAUUCUCUGCUGGCUGCAGAGCAUGUUUCUCAGAAGAUCUGUCAGUCAUGCAAUGUGAAAAGGGCUAUUCUGUGAUGUAGAGACUCUGCCGAAACAGCUUCACUACGAAGACAGCGAUGUCUCUACACCUGCAAAGUUCCCCCUGCACAACAGAGAGUCCAUGAUCGAGGGGUUCUACAUGCCCUUCCUCCAACUACAGCCAUAUCUCUCUCCACAGUGAUGGCAAAUAUACACUUCAUGAACAGGAGGUGAUAUGUGGUUGCCUGACAAGCACCAUCCAUGUUGGCCCUGGGAAACAUAUAAUACUCGUAGGAAUAAAUGGUCACUACAAUGUCACAGUGCCUGUGCUUACCUGCACAACUUGUCUUAGCACCUGGACAGCAAACUUGGCAGAUCUGAUAAAGAAUGGGUACUGGCCUGCCACUGUCAACUGUGACACCAUAUACCAGGUAGAUGUGUUCAGCUCUUUUGAGGAGCUGGAAGUGUCAGCCCCAGGAAUGUCCCGUCUGGCGUUUAUGUGGAUUUUGGAGCAGCGAACAGACUCCUUUGGCAGGCAGAACGGAAUGAUCUGUGGGGACACUUUUCAAAAAAGCUUCGAGUGGACGUACUGCCGCUCUGAAAUUGAUUAGGUCUGUGAUAUACAGGACUUUGACUGCCCAGCCUGUUCACCCAGCAUGCUUGCAGUGUCAGUGGACGGGAACAAGAAGCUGUAUCGAUUCAAAAAAGGGUUAUGGAAAAGGAGUAUGUGGAGCAUCCCAGUGGACAGCAGCUAAAGAGUUCAAGGAAAACAAACGACAAACUUGAUGAAGAGGGACUCGAAGUAGCCGUCUCUCGCCAUGGAAUACUUCUAAGGAGCCUCAACAUGAUGCGUGGAGAGAUAUUUGCAUAUCCACUGUUCUUGCAGAAGGAAUUGUCUGGCAGCAGGAACAUACAAUUCAUGUGUAUGUGAUCUGCAAAUUUUGGCCAUACCUGACCAAAGUUGCCCUUCAUUGUCCAGAGCUCGCCACUCUUCUAGACAUGAAGCCACUUUCUGUCAUGCAUACAAAGGCACAUCGUUUGAAAUGCGAGAUUAAGUGGGGAGGACGGAAUCAGGAAGGAGCUGGCACAACUCUGGGGGAGGAAGAGGAACAAGGGAACAGCUUCUUGUCGAGGGCUGCAAUCUGUUCCAAGCAAAUGUCCAAAGGAGGCUGGCAAUUGAAUCAGUCGGAAGCUGGGAGCAGAGGUCUCUUCUCCAUGCUUCAGAGGAGAGUCAGCAGCCUCAGAAGACACCAGGACUUUGUCAAACUGAUAUACAGCAAAGCUAUGGGCCAAGACACCUCCCUCCUAGAAAAUAACUUCAUAGAUGACCUCCUGGAAGAGGACCUAGAUGACAUCUAUGACAGCAUCCACUAUCACAGACUGAAGGUGUUCGUUUGGGUGGGUGCAGUUUUGUAC
Oncorhynchus tshawytscha (Chinook salmon) is the source of this 2074-nucleotide long non-coding RNA. NCBI's taxonomy places the organism in Eukaryota, Metazoa, Chordata, Actinopteri, Salmoniformes, Salmonidae. The record is from Ensembl.